This 354-nucleotide ribosomal RNA is filed under the name bacterium LimC-10-A-257. RNAcentral's name for it is "bacterial SSU rRNA". It matches the Rfam family "Bacterial small subunit ribosomal RNA", at positions 289 to 635 of the family's 1533-position model. The record is from RNAcentral. RNAcentral also lists the same sequence under 1 other name.
GACCUGAGAGGGUGAUCGGCCACACUGGGACUGAGACACGGCCCAGACUCCUACGGGAGGCAGCAGUAGGGAAUCUUCCGCAAUGGACGAAAGUCUGAUGGAGCAACGCCGCGUGAGUGAUGAAGGCUUUCGGGUCGUAAAGCUCUGUUGUUAGGGAAGAACAAGUGCAAGAGUAACUGCUUGCACCUUGACGGUACCUAACCAGAAAGCCACGGCUAACUACGUGCCAGCAGCCGCGGUAAUACGUAGGUGGCAAGCGUUGUCCGGAAUUAUUGGGCGUAAAGGGCUCGCAGGUGGUUUCUUAAGUCUGAUGUGAAAGCCCCCGGCUCAACCGGGGAGGGUCAUUGGAAACUG